This 450-nucleotide ribosomal RNA is filed under the name uncultured bacterium. Its description in RNAcentral is "bacterial SSU rRNA". It matches the Rfam family "Bacterial small subunit ribosomal RNA", at positions 30 to 470 of the family's 1533-position model. The record is from RNAcentral.
AUUGAACGCUGGCGGAAUGCUUUACACAUGCAAGUCGAACGGCAGCACGGGAGCUUGCUCCUGGUGGCGAGUGGCGAACGGGUGAGUAACAUAUCGGAACGUACCCAGUAAUGGGGAGUAACUGAGUCGAAAGAUUAGCUAAUACCGCAUACGCCCUGCAGGGGUGAAAGGACGGGGAUCGGUAAGACCUCGCGUUAUUGGAGCGGCCGAUAUCUGAUUAGCUAGUUGGUGGGGAUAAAGGCCAGUCNCCAAGGCGACGAUCAGUAGCUGGUCUGAGAGGACGACCAGCCACACUGGAACUGAGACACGGUCCAGACUCCUACGGGAGGCAGCAGUGGGGAAUUUUGGACAAUGGGCGCAAGCCUGAUCCAGCCAUUCCGCGUGAGUGAAGAAGGCCUCGGUUGUAAGCUCUUCGCAAGGAAGAAACGAUACGAGCGAAUAACUCGUGUU